This 402-nucleotide ribosomal RNA is filed under the name uncultured bacterium. RNAcentral describes it as "bacterial SSU rRNA". It matches the Rfam family "Bacterial small subunit ribosomal RNA", at positions 355 to 742 of the family's 1533-position model. The record is from RNAcentral.
UGCGGAAUUUUAGAUAAUGGAGGGAACUCUGAUCUAGCGACGCCGCGUGCAGGAAGAAGGUCUUCGGAUUGUAAACUGCUGUGGUAAGGGAAAAAUGCUAUGUAGAGUGGAAAGCUACAUAGAGGGAUGGUACCUUACUAGAAAGCCCCGGCUAACUACGUGCCAGCAGCCGCGGUAAUACGGUANGGGGGUCGAGCGUUACCCGGAAUCACUGGGCGUAAAGGGAGCGUAGGUGGCCUAACAUGUCAACUGUGAAAACCCCGGAGCUCAACUCCGGACUUGCAGUUGAAACUGGUAGGCUUGAGGACGGUAGAGGAAGACGGAACUGCCAGUGUAGGGGUAAAAUCCUUAGAUAUUGGCAGGAACGCCGGUGACGAAGGUGGUUUUCUGGGCCGGUUUCUG